ACGGACGUCCACACGCUCGGGACGACGCGACUUGUUUGACGCCCUUGAAGGCCCCUUUCCGGGCUGCCUAACGCGACACAAGUGUCAGCUUGUGUUAACUGAAUGCCUAUUGUUUGCGUAAGGAGAAAAUAUUCCCACAUAGUCUCCUUGUUCUCAGGGCCAAUCCGCUUCCCUGGAAGAGCCUCUUUCGGCUGGCUUUUUCUUCAGGCAGCGCCGCGGGCAGCCCGCAGGCCCUUGUGUUGCGCGCGCAGCGACACCGCCUCCUUCUUUUCGGCCGGAACCGCCAUCUUUCAGGUAAGGACUGCUCGUGGCUCCCGGGACCCUGCGUUCCUUAGGCUCGAAUUGCGACCCUGCGGCCUCAGAUGACAUGCACUGGGAUACUAGAGAGUCUGUUUACCCAAUCUGGGGUCCAGUGUCCUGGGCGGUUGGGUCUGUGUCCUGCCAGACCCGGAGCAGCAUGCGCUGUGUUAGGGCCUGGGCAGUGGGCUGAGGACCCGACCUGCGGUGCCGUGGCCCUGAGGUGCUACGGUUAGGAAGACGAAGCCGACUCACUGGGGACGAAGUGAGUUAAUCUGCGGUUAAUCUGACUAGGAUUCAGCCUCUCAUAUCUCUGUGACUUCGGUCGCGGAGUCCUGGGCCCUCGUAGGCUGUGCGGGGCCUCGUGGCCUGAUGCUUUUCUAACUCCUUUCAAUGUAACGUGGACGGGUAGGCACUUCCGGGUCUUAAGAACGGGUUUAAAACAAGUCUUGGAUUUGAUCUCCAGUGAGCCUAAAUGUCUGAAUUUCUGGCUUCGUGGUUGGGUAACGAAGUGGCUGCCCGCCGAGUCAAAUCUGGUUAAUGAGUCUCAGAUCACUCUUGGAUUGUGCGUGAAUUGAUAGCCUGUUGCUUUUAGUUUUGGCUCGGGAUUGCGAGUGGAUGAAGGGAAUAUAUGUUAAGGUUGCCUUACCAGUGCUCAUACAUCAAGAGGGGAAGAUGUGUGUUGAGUGAAAGCAUUCCACAACAGCAAUAUGUCCGAUUUAGGAGUUUAGGGGUGAAUUUUAAUAAUUAUUUAACAAACUGCUGGCUUCACCCCACAUAGCGAUUCUAGUUGGCAAAUUUGAUACCAUUGUAGGCUUCAAGCAUCAUUGGUUUGCAUGGGUAAGGUAUCGUUUUGGAAAACUGGUUCAGUUUUGUGUGUGUUAGGUCUAGGCAUAAAAUAGAUGCCAGGAAAAUGAG
This 1215-nucleotide long non-coding RNA is filed under the name Marmota monax (woodchuck). The record is from RNAcentral. Lineage: Eukaryota; Metazoa; Chordata; Mammalia; Rodentia; Sciuridae.